Calypte anna (Anna's hummingbird) is the source of this 617-nucleotide long non-coding RNA. RefSeq lists it as uncharacterized. NCBI's taxonomy places the organism in Eukaryota, Metazoa, Chordata, Aves, Apodiformes, Trochilidae. The record is from RefSeq and is a predicted model, not a curated record. The transcript has 4 exons.
CCCGGGCCGCUCUCCGAGGGGCAAGGCCCUGGGCCACCUGACCCCGCGGGGCACCGCGGCGGCUUUGUGUCUGCCGGGCGCUCGCCACAGCCUGAUGCUUCGCCUCGCCCCCGACCGGCCCCGGGGACAACACGGCCGCCGCCCCCGGCGGGAGCUCGCCGAGGCCCCGUCCCGCCCCGAGGGCCCUCCCUCCACCUGCAGGAAGAGCUCGUAGAGGAUCUCCUCCCGCACGCGGCUCUCCAGCGAUGUCAGCAUGACCAACGGGAGAGGGUGUUCACCUCAGUAUGUCUGGGGUUGAAGAAGAGUUGAAGCGAAGAUGCUAACCACUAGUGCCUUUAGCCUUCAGCAGCUUUCCCUGCUGAGGAAAAGAUGAUGAUGAUGAUGAUUAUUAUUAUUGUCAGGCCUGCUUUAGAAUGGGAGACGAUUCUCAUCUGCACAGAUGCGUGACCUCGGGAGAAGGUGUGUGUGCCCCAGGAGUGUUUCCUGCAGUGCGAAUAAUUGGCAGCCAGAUACAGGAAAACUGAGCAUCCAGACACCUCACCUCUAAAAGACAGAGUUUAUCUGCUUCUUUGCCUCACUGUAAACUCCAAGAAAAUGAUGUUUGUCUUCUUCUAUUU